CAUCUGUUGUACCUGUUCCUGUUGCCUUCCUUGCCUCUUGGAAUCGUGACAAGAGAGAAAAGUCGCCUCUGGUGGGUUGCUCAAAGCUGCGGGUCUGCAGCCCUGUGCAGGAAGUUGGCACCGAUCCCAGGCAGCGCAAAAGGCACCCCCAGAUUGCAGUGACGUCAUUUUCUCCUCUCUUCCAAGUUUCACAAAGUUGUGAACUUCCAAGCCUUCUAUAUGGAGAAAAAAUUAUUUUGAAAUAUUCUUGGGCAUCAUGGUUGCAGACAAAGUCUUUCCAGUAACAUAUGAUUCUCACCCAUUGGGAACUGCUCUAGAACUUUGUGAUGUUGGCCUGGCAAAGAGUUCCUUGCCCUGGAGUUUCCUGUUCAAACUAAACACAGUGGGGGUAUGGUCACAGUGAGUCUUUUACAAGAAGGAAUAGGAAGUCCACCCUGUGACUAGGAGAAUGCCCAGAGAGAAGAAUGAAAAUAGUGGGAAUCAGGAUCAAAUGAAAAAACCACUUUUCAUUGCAAAGCUGAACAACUGCUCCCUCUUUUCUUUGCAUACUGAAAAGAGACCCAUUAAGGCAGCGGUCCCACCCUUUCUGGCUCCGAGGACUGGCAGUGGUGGUGGUGGGAGAGGGGAUGGUUUUGUUCAUGUGCCCACUGAUUGCACAAAUGGAGCUCUACAUGCUCAUAAGCUUGUCCGCUUGCACCGCCUUGUUCCAAACAGGCCAUGGCCCGGUACUGUGCCAUGGACCAGGGGUUGAGGACCCCUGCAUUAAGGGACUCAAUAGCCUAUUCGAGUAAUUUGCUUCCCACUGCUGCUACUCCAAGGAAGGGUCUAGGAUGUAUGCUUGGCAAAAACCAGUCAGCCAUAUGGUGAUGUUUCCCUGACAUUCCAGCUUGAAGAGCAUGCCCUACCACAUCUUUCAGCUGUUCCUAUAAGACACUUUUCCAAGUUUCCAUGCUUAGCAAAUGCCCCAUCCAACAAGCUUGCCCAAUCUCAAAGUAUCUCCUGAUGGGAUAGACUGGAAACAAUUACCAGGCACUCAAGGAUCCAGAAAGUUUGUUAAAUAUCUUUUAUUUCAGUAGAUCUAAUAAGUCAUUAUGAAAAACAAUGAUUGUGGGGUUAUCAAAAGCAAAUCCCAUAUAGUAGACUCAAUGUUCACAUUUUCUACCUCUUUAUCCUGUGUCACCUACUGGUCCUAAAUUCUCCAUUUUGGGCAGGAAGUCUAAUUUCCAUCUGUUAGUUGUUUGGGUCAGAAUAUGACAUGACGAUGUUUUACUUUGACCUUGUAAGAAAAUAAAUUCUCACAACUGAUCAUGACAAAUUAUCAGAAUUUGGGAUCUCCAGAUUUAGACAGCAUCUUGUACUCUUGUCCAUAUCCUGUAUUCUGUACCUCAAAUUGAGCCUAUCAUAUAUAGCUUGAUCCAAAGGUGGGUUUCAGCAGGUUCUGACCACUUCUGGAGAACCGGUAGUGGAAAUUUUGAGUAGUUUGGAGAACUGGUAGUAAAAAUUCUGACAGGCCCCGCCCCCAUCUAUUCUCUGCCUCCCAAGUCUCAGCUGAUCGGGAGGAAAUGGGGAUUUUGCAGUCACCUUUUCCUGGAUUGGGGUGGGAAUGGACAUUUUAUAGUAUCCUUCCCUUGCCACGCCCCCCAAGCCACACCCACAGAACCGGUAGAAAAUUUUUUGAAACCCACCACUGAUUUGAUCAUUUAAAAAUACUGAGGUAAUGCUCAGUAUUGCGUAUAAUAACUAUUGUCAGAAAAGCCAAGAUAAAUGUUUUCUAUAUAAAGAAUAAGAUUUUUUUAAGGAAUAAGAAAUAACAGUAAGAAAUGCACCAAUAAUUUUUAAAGAUUUGCAUGGCUGGUGAGAGAAAGAAUAUUUGGGCCUCUUUCUCCACUUCACCUUCUUCACAUUGCUCCUUUUUUGUCUAGCAGAAUAAUCUGGUAUGUAUGAGAAAAAUGAAAGAAUUCUUGGCAUUAAAUUAAAUUAAAUAGUUUUACUAUUUUGAAUGAACAAUACAUAUAAUUUCAAACACUCAAUUACACUUACCUAAGAAUGUGAACCUUCAGUUUCCAUCACCUUCAUGCAGCUUAGCCAAUAAAUGAUAGUUCAGCUUCUAAUAGACUAGAGCAGGGGUGUCAAACUGGCGGCCCACAGGCCGGAUGAAUCACACAUAAGCCAUGCCCACCCCAGCUCCAUGAAUGGGAAAAACAUCAUGAAACAUCACCUUGCAAGUUUGACAUCCGUGGACUAGAGGCUUCUUUUCUGAUCUAGAUAAUAAUAGAGGCAGAAAAGUGUUCUCAUUUAUGCUGCUAUCUAUAGAUUUUAGAUAUUGUUUCUUACUUAAAAGGAUCCAUGCAUCUGCCUAUUAAUAUAAACAAACAGUAGGUAGGUUUGUGAUUGGGCCCAAUAUAUGGAGCAGUUUUAAAACAUGCGAGUUGUGACUGUGCCUAUCUAUUAAGAUAUUAAGAGAUAGUUUGGUGUAAUGGUUAAGGUUCCCUAUUGAGAAAACAGAGACUAUGACUUUUAGUCCCACUUUAGGCAUGAAAAACAGCUGGGUGGCUUUGAGCCAGUCACUCUCUCUCAGCCCCACAGAGUUGUUGUGGGGAAAAUAGGAGGAAGGAAUAUUAUUACUGUAUGUUGGUCACCUUGAGUUACAUAUAAAGUAAUAAAGGUGGGGAAAAAAUCUAAUAAAAUAAGUUCAUACUUCAAACUGUGUUUCUAAUUCUUGCUGUGCUUAAAACAGCCCAUCUCAGCUGUAUUACCUCAUUCCUAUUACAAUUUACAAUUUUUCAUUUUUUCCUCAUAAAACCCUGUAAUAUGGACUAUAUUAAUAGUCCAAAGUCACCAGUGAGAUCCAUGAUCAUAUAGAAACUUGAACUUGGAUCUCUAUAAUGAUUAUCUAACAUUUUAAUGACUACAAUUUUAUUUAGACCAGGUCAUUUCUAAUCGUUUUGUUUUGUUGAAAAACAUUGUGCGAUAUAGAAUGGUUGGCUCCAGAACAAGCCAUUUUUUUCCUCUGGAAUGGGAUGUCUGACAUAUUCUGGAUGUGGUUCACAUAUUUCCAGAAGUGCACUUAUCAUAAUAAGAAAUAAUUACCUUUUCAAUGAUUUUUUUUUGCUGUCUUGAAUAAUAUACAUCUGGAAAUGUAUGAACCAUUCCAGAAUGGACCAGCUCAUUCUAGAAAAAAAUGGAAUUCCUGAGCUAAAUAUGUUUUGUACAGAAGUAUUCUGUUUUGCUCUUAUCCUUAUAAUUUCUAUGAGAUCUUAAUUUGUUUUUAAAAAAUAUAUCUGCAACUCUCAAGUGAGGAGCAGGACAAACAUAAUUUGUCCUGCUCCUGACUGAGACAUGAUUUUAAUGCCUGCCACUUUCACUCUGAAUUCAGCAUUCAAGGAUUGAGCUGGAUUAUGGGCUUCCUAAUGUCACCUCCAAAUGAAACACCAAGAAAGGAGACUAGGGAUUAAUGGAUAGCAAAAUCCAGUCAUGCCCUUCGUGGGAAGCUUACUCCCCUCUCCCCCUCCUGUUGGGAUCUGUUGUCUUCUUGUCUACGUGCUGCCUGCUCUGGGACUGUACAACAGGAGCAAAGGAAAGCAAACAUUCCUAUCACUCUAGGCCAAGGGCGUGCUCCACGGCAUCAAUAAUGGAUCCUCUGUUUAGCAAGCAACACUGCAUCAUCUGCAGUCAUAUCCUACACUCUCUUAUCCUGACUGGAAAGCAUCUUCUCUGCACAGUAGGCUAUACUCUAACCCAGUACAGAGAAGCUACCUGAGCCUUAUACCUGGGAAAUUGUCACCUCCUUUAGAACGAAAUUUAGACAAUCAAGAUAGAUCUAAAACAUAUUUACUCCUAAACUAAUGGGUCAAAUAUUGUGAUUACUUAAAUGCUUGCCAACUACCCCAGAUCAGUAUCAAUGUUUGAUUUCACAAUUUUGAUAUUGACGCACCACUGACAUUUAGGGCCUGGACUAAAGUUUCUCUUUAGGUGUUCAACCAGUCUUGCUCUUUCCCAGAUACUCCAUUCUGUUUUUCACCCUCGAAGUUUCUUGAUUUCUCCACUCCUGGUCCAAUAGACUCUGUUUAGUGGCCAUUCAGCUUUACUCUAAAAUUCAGUGGCCCAAUUUCCUUCCUUUUGUGUGGGUAUGUUCUUUUUGUGGCAUUGGUUGUUAUUAAAGUUAUGUAUAUUUUGAAUUGCCUGACUCCAGCUGGCUUCUAUGAAAUUAUUUUUUGCUACAGAUUAGCUGUGUGUAUGAAUGGUGCAUUAUAGUAAUCUUAUGAUAAUGAAAGUCUAAAGUUUAAAAGCAUCCAAGGAUAUCAUUAAACUGCUGAAGCUUCAAAGGAAUGACAAAUACUCAAAAUUGUGAGAGAUUUAAUCUUAAAACUACUCAGCAUGAUUUUACAGGUAAGUACAUAUAGCCAAAUCCUGACUCACAAAAUCAGAGUUGAUUUUAAAUUGCAAAUCUGUAAAGAUGGGCUUAUCUUGCAAGCUUGUGAAGAUGGAUUUUACUUUCUGCAAUGCACUCCAUUAGUUUGCAACAAAAUUUUGUAUCUUUUUCUAACAAUGAGGGGAAAUGGUAGCAGCUAAACAGCUUUUAGAAUUAAUAUCUUAUUUUUUAAAAAAGAACAAACAAGCAAGCCGCUAUAUAAUGCAAGUAUGCCAGGAACCAUUGAGUUUUGAGACGAAAACACCUGCAUUGAAAACCUAACUUUGAAAUUUGAAAUUCUCAGAUUCAAAACUAAAUGAAAUUUUGUAAUAUGAACAAAUUUCAAACUUUUAUCUCAGCUUCUGCUUGAGUAUAAAGCUUCAAAAAUAUAAACCUUUCUAGGUCUGCUCUGACAUAGAUACUCAAGUGUUUCAAAUAAUUUAAUGAUUGUGCUGAUGAAUUUUGGCGGGUGGAGAUGAGCAACUAAACUCUUUUCUUCCAUCAUACAUAAUUUUCCAAUUUCAUCUUUAAGAAUUAAAGCCAUGGUUGCUUUAAACUUUUAUUUGGACUCUGUUUUUUGUUAAGAACACUGCUUGCAAAAUAUCAAAACGUACAUUGAGAAACUGAAAGAUUAAAACUUUUCAGUUACAAUUUUCUGGAAACAG
Pantherophis guttatus is the source of this 5076-nucleotide long non-coding RNA. RefSeq lists it as uncharacterized. NCBI's taxonomy places the organism in Eukaryota, Metazoa, Chordata, Lepidosauria, Squamata, Colubridae. The record is from RefSeq and is a predicted model, not a curated record.